Brachypodium distachyon (stiff brome) is the source of this 113-nucleotide non-coding RNA. Lineage: Eukaryota; Viridiplantae; Streptophyta; Magnoliopsida; Poales; Poaceae. The record is from Rfam.
GUGGUGACAAACUUGAGGCAGCAACUGCAUAUCUUGCAAGAAAAUUGGGUUUCAGAGCAUACCGAUGAUUUUCUUGCAAGUUGUGCAGUUGUUGUCUCAAGCUUGCUGCCUCC